RNA transcript from Papaver somniferum (opium poppy), 1371 nucleotides. It is a transcript of the gene named ABC transporter B family member 25, mitochondrial-like, with no coding region annotated. The record is from RefSeq and is a predicted model, not a curated record. The transcript is spliced from 6 exons. NCBI's taxonomy places the organism in Eukaryota, Viridiplantae, Streptophyta, Magnoliopsida, Ranunculales, Papaveraceae.
UUUCUCUUCUUCUCUCGUUCUCUUCCCUAAUUCUCUGCUCCUCUUUCCUUCUCUUCUUUGCCAGAAAAAGAAGUUCUCUCGUAUUCAACUAAAAAAACAUUGAAACCUAAAAUCUAUACCUUUGUUUCCUUGUUGAUUUUUGAGAAAAAACUUAUUAGGGUUUAGAUUAUCAGGGCUCAGACAAUUCUUUUUCCCAUUUCAAUUUCAGACUCCAAACCUCAGCUAAGGCUUUGGUUAAACUGAUUUAGUGAGCUUUUUGUACAGAUCGAGUAUUCAUAUCAUUCUGGUGGACUAGUGGAUCUAGCGGGUUCAGAUCUUAUGUGUACAGGUAUGAAAAAGUUCAUCCAUCAACCAAAAUCUCAGAAAAGUAAUAGCGGGAUUACAAAUUAUCUGGUCGAGGGGAAAUGAGAGAGUUAUAUAGCCUUCUUGUUUCAUCUUUUGUUUUUCUGAGUUUCUUUAAAUGAAGAUAUACAAUUUCCAGUAGCAUCACUUACUCAUGAAUGCUACAUAACUUUUCAAACUGCGAAGUAUUUUAAUAAUGAGGAAUUUAAAGAUGAGAAGUACGAUGAGUUCAUAAAAAAAUAUGAGGAUGCGUCUUUAAAAACUAGCGGUAGUCUUGCUUUUUUGAACUUCGGUCAAAACGUGAUAUUUAGCACGGCUCUUUCAAUGGCCAUGGUAUUGUGUUCAGAUGGAAUUAUGAGGGGGGAGAUGACAGUUGGUGAUUUGGUUAUGGUAAAUGGGAUUCUUUUCCAGCUAUCUCUUCCUCUCAAUUUUCUUGGUGGUGUGUAUCGGGAGUCCAAGCAGGGUCUUGUUGAUAUGAAGUCCAUGUUUCAGUUACUAGAGGGCACGCGCUAUUGAUUCAGUGAGCGAGAUCUUUGACAUUGUUAAUAAUCCCGGAGCAAGCACCUCGUGAUUCUGUGUGAAAGGAUGUCCUACUCGGAUAAGUUGGUUUAUGGGAACCAUAUCAGCUGCCUAAGUUGUUGAUACAAUGUGUCGAAGUUGAACUACAGAACACUUAUACAUGCUUUAACUUCUAUUUGUUCAGCAUAAGGACCAAAUAAUGAGGUUCAAGCACCUUUAAUUUGCUUUUCUAAUAAGAGGUUUUGUUGCAUCUCAUUUCCUCACAGGCAUACCGGUGGAUCAUGUUUUGGUCGCAGUUAGAGGGACGACUCUGUUCACGGGAGCUGCUGGGAUGAUUUAAUUAUUGUGUUGCUUUUCAUUGUUCUACUCUGACUUUUUAUAUCUAGCUUUUCUUCUUACACUGAUUAACAUCCUUAACUAAUUAUGUCUUAUAAUUUAAUGACUUUUAACAGUGUAAACAAGAUUUGCUUUUCCUGACUUAUUGCGAAGUUUGACACUCUUUUUAGUCGA